Molecule: ribosomal RNA, 880 nt
Filed under: uncultured bacterium
Lineage: Bacteria
Description: bacterial SSU rRNA
Rfam family: Bacterial small subunit ribosomal RNA
Source: RNAcentral
GUUUGAUCAUGGCUCAGAUUGAACGCUGGCGGCAGGCCUAACACAUGCAAGUCGAGCGGAUGAGGGGAGCUUGCUUCCCGAUUCAGCGGCGGACGGGUGAGUAAUGCCUAGGAAUCUGCCCGAUAGUGGGGGACAACGUUUCGAAAGGAACGCUAAUACCGCAUACGUCCUACGGGAGAAAGUGGGGGAUCUUCGGACCUCACGCUAUCGGAUGAGCCUAGGUCGGAUUAGCUAGUUGGUGAGGUAAUGGCUCACCAAGGCGACGAUCCGUAACUGGUCUGAGAGGAUGAUCAGUCACACUGGAACUGAGACACGGUCCAGACUCCUACGGGAGGCAGCAGUGGGGAAUAUUGGACAAUGGGCGAAAGCCUGAUCCAGCCAUGCCGCGUGUGUGAAGAAGGUCUUCGGAUUGUAAAGCACUUUAAGUUGGGAGGAAGGGCAGUAAGCUAAUACCUUGCUGUUUCGACGUUACCAACAGAAUAAGCACCGGCUAACUUCGUGCCAGCAGCCGCGGUAAUACGAAGGGUGCAAGCGUUAAUCGGAAUUACUGGGCGUAAAGCGCGCGUAGGUGGUUCAGCAAGUUGGAUGUGAAAGCCCCGGGCUCAACCUGGGAACUGCAUCCAAAACUACUGAGCUAGAGUACGGUAGAGGGUGGUGGAAUUUCCUGUGUAGCGGUGAAAUGCGUAGAUAUAGGAAGGAACACCAGUGGCGAAGGCGACCACCUGGACUGAUACUGACACUGAGGUGCGAAAGCGUGGGGAGCAAACAGGAUUAGAUACCCUGGUAGUCCACGCCGUAAACGAUGUCAACUAGCUGUUGGGUUCCUUGAGAACUUAGUAGCGCAGCUAACGCGAUAAGUUGACCGCCUAGGGAGUACGGC